GAUGAACGCUGGCGGCGUGCCUAAUACAUGCAAGUCGAGCGAACAGACGAGGAGCUUGCUCCUCUGACGUUAGCGGCGGACGGGUGAGUAACACGUGGAUAACCUACCUAUAAGACUGGGAUAACUUCGGGAAACCGGAGCUAAUACCGGAUAACAUGUUGAACCGCAUGGUUCAACAGUGAAAGACGGUUUUGCUGUCACUUAUAGAUGGAUCCGCGUCGCAUUAGCUAGUUGGUGAGGUAACGGCUUACCAAGGCAACGAUGCGUAGCCGACCUGAGAGGGUGAUCGGCCACACUGGAACUGAGACACGGUCCAGACUCCUACGGGAGGCAGCAGUAGGGAAUCUUCCGCAAUGGGCGAAAGCCUGACGGAGCAACGCCGCGUGAGUGAAGAAGGUCUUCGGAUCGUAAAACUCUGUUAUUAGGGAAGAACAAAUGUGUAAGUAACUAUGCACGUCUUGACGGUACCUAAUCAGAAAGCCACGGCUAACUACGUG
RNAcentral lists this ribosomal RNA (497 nucleotides) under uncultured bacterium. RNAcentral describes it as "partial 16S ribosomal RNA". It matches the Rfam family "Bacterial small subunit ribosomal RNA", at positions 28 to 507 of the family's 1533-position model. The record is from RNAcentral.